UACGGAGGGUGCAAGCGUUGUCCGGAUUUAUUGGGUUUAAAGGGUGCGUAGGCGGCUCUUUAAGUCAGUGGUGAAAGCCGACAGCUUAACUGUCGAAAUGCCAUUGAUACUGGGGAGCUUGAGUACAGUAGAGGUAGGCGGAAUUAAUGGUGUAGCGGUGAAAUGCAUAGAUACCAUUAAGAACACCGAUUGCGAAGGCAGCUUACUAUAGUGUAACUGACGCUGAGGCACGAAAGUGUGGGGAGUCAAAACAGG
RNAcentral lists this ribosomal RNA (255 nucleotides) under uncultured bacterium. Its description in RNAcentral is "partial 16S ribosomal RNA". It matches the Rfam family "Bacterial small subunit ribosomal RNA", at positions 524 to 776 of the family's 1533-position model. The record is from RNAcentral.